UCUUGGUCAUUUAGAGGAAGUAAAAGUCGUAACAAGGUUUCCGUAGGUGAACCUGCGGAAGGAUCAUUAACAGAGACGAGGGUCCCCCGGGGCCCCAACUCACCACCCUUUGCGAACUUACCUUCGUUGCUUUGGCGGGCUGCGGGGUCCUUGGACCCCCCGUCGACCCCGGUGGACGCGCGCCCGUCGGAGGCCCCUCCCAACUCUGUUAAUCAGUGAAGUCCGAGCCAAAACAUAAUCGUUUUAAAACUUUCAACAACGGAUCUCUUGGUUCCGGCAUCGAUGAAGAACGCAGCGAAAUGCGAUAAGUAAUGUGAAUUGCAGAAUUCAGUGAAUCAUCGAAUCUUUGAACGCACAUUGCGCCCUCCGGUAUUCCGGGGGGCAUGCCUGUUCGAGCGUCAUUACAACCCUCAAGCUCGGCUUGGUCUUGGGUGCCGCCCCCCCGGGGCGCUCCCGAAAGUCAGCGGCGACGCGGUCGGUCUUCAAGCGUAGUAAAACUUUUGUUUCGCUUUCGGAGCCCGGGCGCGUCCGCCGGACAACCCUCUUAUCUCAACGGUUGACCUCGGAUCAGGUAGGGAUACCCGCUGAACUUAAGCAUAUCAAUAAGCGGAGGAA
RNAcentral lists this ribosomal RNA (615 nucleotides) under Xylographa erratica. RNAcentral's name for it is "eukaryotic LSU rRNA". The stretch from base 248 to 401 matches the Rfam family "5.8S ribosomal RNA". Lineage: Eukaryota; Fungi; Ascomycota; Lecanoromycetes; Baeomycetales; Xylographaceae. The record is from RNAcentral.